UCCCUGGAGGACUAGUGGUUAGGCCAUGGUGCUCUCUUUGCUGCAGCCCGGGUUCGAUUCCUGGCCAGGGAA
Non-coding RNA from Pangasianodon gigas (Mekong giant catfish), 72 nucleotides. The record is from the annotation of a GenBank genome assembly. Lineage: Eukaryota; Metazoa; Chordata; Actinopteri; Siluriformes; Pangasiidae.